GGGCAACCUUUCUUCUCUUCGUUCCCAGUAAAUUGUGCAUUGUAAUUUGAAGUAUGUACCGACAACUACAGUCAUGAAAUGCCUCUGCAAAUUAAGGAAUCUCACAAUUGUUGAAUGCCCCCUUCUUGAGAAGAAUUGCGCCAAAGGGAGUAGUUAUGAAUGAUACAGGAUUUCUCAUCUCCCGUACAUAUAUAUAAGUCAAUUUGCCCUUCCUUUCUCCCAUUCUCUGCUCACUUUUCCUCCGACAAUCCAUUCUUUUUGUCUUCUUUUACAGAUUAAUUACCUUUUUUUUCCUUCUCUUUGGGCGUGGACACUGAACAAGGUUUAUCUAUGAAUUCUCAGUUAAUUCCAUGGAAAUGGAAACUUUUGGAUUAUAAAUCAAUAAUCCAUCUCCUGCACUCACUGCAUUUUUCAUUGGUAUGUCUGACUUCCCUUAUUGAACCCAUAUGCUAUGGUUUUUCCAUUAUUUUAUGAUAUAUUUCCUUUAUGUAAUGAUCUCUACAAACUUCCACUUUCGAAACCUUUCACAUGAACAGGGGCAUGACUUUGAUAUGAGAAAAUGCAGGUAGGUUUCCUUGGCAUGUUUCCUUUAAA
RNAcentral lists this unclassified non-coding RNA (594 nucleotides) under Hevea brasiliensis (rubber tree). Lineage: Eukaryota; Viridiplantae; Streptophyta; Magnoliopsida; Malpighiales; Euphorbiaceae. The record is from RNAcentral.